Molecule: long non-coding RNA, 510 nt
Organism: Syngnathus typhle (broad-nosed pipefish)
Lineage: Eukaryota; Metazoa; Chordata; Actinopteri; Syngnathiformes; Syngnathidae
Exons: 2
Source: RefSeq, a predicted model, not a curated record
UUACAGAUGAUAAUAGUGCGGGCAAUUAGUAUAUAUUGAAUUUAGAACGCGUUAUAAAUAUGAAACGGGGCGUGAAAUUUUAUUUUGUGAACUUUACAAAUACCGUACGAUGCGUGAUGACGUAGUCAAAAUGGCAGCUACCGCAAUUACAGCAGAGCUGAAAUUCAGAGACGGUCGAGCUCCGAAAGUGGAGCAAAUAAACGUCCCAGUCGAGAACACGCUCCCGUCUUUAAUCACAGGGCUUCACAAAAUGAGCGAGAACGUCUCACGGAUUCUCAGCGAGCUCGUAGACAAGGAAAAAGUCGCUGCAGGCUGCGCAGCUGAUGACGAAGAAGCCUGCGAAGACGACGACAGCGACGAUGAAGGCGAAAAAGAACCCAAGUCGGAGCCUCACCCGCCUGCGAAAAGAUCCAAAACGUGAUGAGUCCAACAGAGCAUCAUGUAAUUUCCAACACCAUAGAGAUAACUUUUUUUUUACACUAAAAGGGUCAAUAAAAACUUGAAACAAUA